CUACGGGAGGCAGCAGUGGGGAAUCUUGCGCAAUGGGGGCAACCCUGACGCAGCCAUGCCGCGUGCGCGAUGACGGCCCUCGGGUUGUAAAGCGCUUUCAGCGGGGACGACGAUGACGGUACCCGCAGAAGAAGUCACGGCUAACUUCGUGCCAGCAGCCGCGGUAAUACGAAGGUGGCGAAUGUUGCUCGGAUUCACUGGGCGUAAAGCGUCCGUAGGUGGUUUUGUAAGUUAGAGGUGAAAGCCCCGCGCUUAACGUGGGAAUUGUCUUUAAAACUGCAGAACUAGAAGGUAAGAGAGGUUAGUGGAAUACCCGGUGUAGAGGUGAAAUUCGUAGAUAUCGGGUGGAACAUCCAUGGCGAAGGCAGCUAACUGGCUUAUUCUUGACACUGAGGGACGAAAGCGUGGGGAGCAAACAGGAUUAGAUACCCGUGUAGUC
This 439-nucleotide ribosomal RNA is filed under the name uncultured bacterium. RNAcentral describes it as "partial 16S ribosomal RNA". It matches the Rfam family "Bacterial small subunit ribosomal RNA", at positions 339 to 795 of the family's 1533-position model. The record is from RNAcentral.